CCUACGGGUGGCAGCAGUGGGGAAUAUUGGGCAAUGGACGCAAGCCUGACCCAGCAACGCCGCGUGAAGGAAGAAGGCUUUCGGGUUGUAAACUUCUUUUCUUAGGGACGAAGAAAGUGACGGUACCGUAGGAAUAAGUUACGGCUAACUACGUGCCAGGAGCCGCGGUAAUACGUAGGUGGCAAGCGUUCUCCGGAUUUAUUGGGUGUAAAGGGCGUGUAGGCGGGAGCGCAAGUCAGAUGGGAAAACUCAGGGCUCAACCCUGAGCCUGCAUUUGAAACUGUGUUUCUUGAGUGCGGGAGAGGCAAUCGGAAUUCCGUGUGUAGCGGUGAAAUGCGUAGAUAUACGGAGGAACACCAGUGGCGAAGGCGGAUUGCUGGACAGUAACUGACGCUGAGGCGCGAAAGCGUGGGGAGCAAACAGGAUUAGAUACCCUAGUAGUC
RNAcentral lists this ribosomal RNA (443 nucleotides) under uncultured bacterium. RNAcentral's name for it is "partial 16S ribosomal RNA". It matches the Rfam family "Bacterial small subunit ribosomal RNA", at positions 338 to 795 of the family's 1533-position model. The record is from RNAcentral.